RNAcentral lists this ribosomal RNA (253 nucleotides) under uncultured bacterium. Its description in RNAcentral is "partial 16S ribosomal RNA". It matches the Rfam family "Bacterial small subunit ribosomal RNA", at positions 524 to 776 of the family's 1533-position model. The record is from RNAcentral.
UACGUAGGGGGCAAGCGUUGUCCGGAAUCAUUGGGCGUAAAGCGCGCGUAGGCGGCCCGGUAAGUCCGCUCUGAAAGUCCAGGGCUCAACCCUGGAAAGCGGGUGGAUACUGCCGGGCUAGAAUCCGGAAGAGGCGAGUGGAAUUCCUGGUGUAGCGGUGGAAUGCGCAGAUAUCAGGAGGAACACCUAUGGCGAAGGCAGCUCGCUGGGACGUUACUGACGCUGAGACGCGAAAGCGUGGGGAGCAAACAGG